Felis catus (domestic cat) is the source of this 674-nucleotide long non-coding RNA. RefSeq lists it as uncharacterized. The record is from RefSeq and is a predicted model, not a curated record. The transcript has 2 exons. Lineage: Eukaryota; Metazoa; Chordata; Mammalia; Carnivora; Felidae.
UCUAAGUUGAAGGGCAAUUUUUAUUACAAGGAUCUGGCUUUCAAUUUCCUGGAUGUUUGCUUGUUUCAGAAAAUUUAAAGCCUUGGCUAUUUUAGGGCUAUCUCCUUUGGUUAUAUUUUGAAUCCCUCCUAGAUAACUUGUACAAAUAUUUUGAGUUAGAUGUAUGUCUGCACAUAGGAAACUUGCAGGCUUUCAUGUUUUCUCACUUCUUUUCUCUUUAAAGUCAACAUAGUAUUUUUACUUUCAGAAAUUUCCUCUAUACAUCCUGUGCAUUGUCUAUACCGAGCCAUCCUGUGUUUUAGACCUGUGCAUCACAAGCUAUUGAAAAGAUACAGAAGCCCUUGUGAUGGAAGGGAGACCAAGGAGUGGAAGGGGAAGGAAGGUCGUAGACCUGCUUGAUUUCUAAGCAAUGUGAGAGUGUUGCGUCUUAAUCUAAUUUCAGCUGCCACCGAACAACACAUGCACAUACGGUAUACGUUUCAUUGUGGGCUGGUCGCGCCGAACUUAUCUUAUUGACCAGGAGGCGAGUGGUAAACGUGCUCACUCGUUACACCAGAUUUUUUUCAUCCGUCUUGUUCAGUAAAAGAAUUUCACGCUUUUGUUUAGAGUGCCAAGGGACCAGAAUUGCUUGCAACUGGUGGUGGCCAGAUGACAUAAUUUUAGCCAAUAAAAUG